Molecule: long non-coding RNA, 549 nt
Organism: Oryzias melastigma (Indian medaka)
Lineage: Eukaryota; Metazoa; Chordata; Actinopteri; Beloniformes; Adrianichthyidae
Exons: 3
Source: RefSeq, a predicted model, not a curated record
UGUCAGUGUUUGAUAUUGUGUAUAAUUGUCAAUAAAGUUGAUUCAAAAUUAAUCAAUGUUUGGACUAGAGACUUCGGACUAAAGACAGGAAGCAGAGCUGGAGGGUUACUUGAAUUCUGAACUGGAGCCAAAAGCGCGGAAGUGAUACAAUUUGUUUUUGGAUUGUGGGACAAAGCCAGAGGGUCCAGAGUGAAGCCACAAAUUCUCAGAAGAACAUGUCAUUUCCACAAAGACCUGUGAGGUUUCCAGAAAACAAAGGCUGUCACUCCCAUGUCAUUUUCUGAUAGCUGUGGGAGGAGUACAUUUAAUAAUGAGCUUACCAGAAAAAUCACUCAGUUCUUCUAGAAGUCAGAAGAAGCUCAACUCAAGAUGACAAAGAAACUACAGUGUUUGAUAUUUGUUCUUGGAUAUUUUCUAGCCUGCAAUGGACAAAGUAAGUGCAUAUAUAAUGAGUUAAGAAUUAUACGGUUUUUCUUGAUACAUUUAAUGAGAUUAUCGUUUUAACUCUUUAAAGAUGGUUAAAUGAGGUAAAAAUUAGGGUUUGGCAAA